Molecule: long non-coding RNA, 1456 nt
Filed under: Erythranthe guttata (spotted monkey flower)
Lineage: Eukaryota; Viridiplantae; Streptophyta; Magnoliopsida; Lamiales; Phrymaceae
Description: long non-coding RNA (EGUT_LNC003326)
Source: RNAcentral
UGGCGCGCCUCCGUUAGAGGGGUUUCUUAUCCCAGACGCCAUUGUUCUGGCCUUCUCCGUGAAAUUUUAAUAGUCUGGAGUUGGAUUCACUUUGCACUCUGGCCAGUGUUUGCCGCAUCCUCUGCCCAAUUGGCUCUCAACCUCUUUCAACUCUCCUGUCUCUCGAUUUUCAUGUAAGAUAUCAUUUUUUUUUUGAAUAAUUUAUUCGCUCAAUUGCGUACUUUUAAAUAUCCAUUGUUAUUAAUCCGGUCGCCAUUUUGAUUUCAUUUGUGAAAUUCGACAACAUUUUUUUAUAUUCAAGAGAAUUGAUCACAUGACAGUUGUAAAUGCUUUGUGAAUGACUGGGUUUGUACAAGGGCCGAAUUGUUCUUUUCCAGAAUUCUGAACUCGGGUUCUAUUCAAUGUUUAUAUUUACACUUGUUUGAUUUUGGGUAAUUGUAGAGCUGCUAACUUGGUGGUGCCUAUAAGAUAUGUACAUAUUAUAUGUAUCUUAGUUACAAUCUGUAGGAAAUAUCGGUAAAAUUUCUAUCCCAUAGAACUGGUAUAGCUGAAAAUCGUAAUCUGUUUCACUCAACGAUAAGAACCCCAUAAUAGCAAGCUGAAAAUUGUGCCCCUUUGAAUUACCACAGGCCGCCUCGAGCUUUCGUUUGUAACUUCACACUCGUGAAUGGUCACGUAAGUUCCCAAGGGGUAGUCGUUGUUAUCUCAUUUUGUUUGAUGUUAAUUAAAGAAAAUAACAACUUAUUUGAAGCUUUGGAAUAGGUCAGCUUUGUGCAACUUGUACAUGGUUUUGAUUGAAACAAGAUUUUACAAUUUUGAAGGUAGUAGUAAUUAUCAUUUGAGAUUUGAGAUUCAUUUCCGCGAGGAUGAUGAACUUAGAACUCUGCGACCUAUUUUUCGGAAAAAAUAAAAAUUAUUUUGUUGUUGUUUUCUUCUAUGUGCUGAAAAUGAAUUUUGAGAUCUCCUCAAGAGAAUGUGUAGUGUUUUAUAUUAGCAUUGAAUUUUUCUUUCUUCAGGCUUCAAUGGAGCAAACUUUUUCUAAUGAAAGAUUCAUUCUAAUUUGUUUCGGGUAAUAUUUCCUUGAUUUUAUACGGAAAAAACUUCCAUAAUUACAAGUGCUACUGUAAAUUUCAAUUCUUGGACUUAUUUGUUUCCUAUCUAGAAACUUAAAUUCUUUGCCUGAAUUUGUUUCAGACUUGAUGACUUGUCCAUUGGCUUUGGUGCCCCCCCUGUUCAAGCACAUAUGAGAAUAGGCGGAGGUGUUACAAGUGCUACCGUAACAUCGUCUUUGCUAGAAACUGUAAGCUUUAAAAAAUUCCUGUAAACAUUAUAUUUACAAACGAGGUUACAUGUAUAAAAUAUUUUGUGCUAUCCAUUCGCCAAAAUAUAUUAUGCCGAAAAGAGUUCGCAUAUAUAUAUUUGCAUUUUGUAAGAUUUGAAGAAGAGCGGUACAAAA